AGAUUGAACGCUGGCGGCAGGCCUAACACAUGCAAGUCGAGCGGUAGAGAGGUGCUUGCAUCUCUUGAGAGCGGCGGACGGGUGAGUAAUGCCUAGGAAUCUGCCUAGUGGUGGGGGAUAACGUUCGGAAACGGACGCUAAUACCGCAUACGUCCUACGGGAGAAAGCGGGGGACCUUCGGGCCUCGCGCCAUUAGAUGAGCCUAGGUCGGAUUAGCUAGUUGGUGAGGUAAUGGCUCACCAAGGCGACGAUCCGUAACUGGUCUGA
RNAcentral lists this ribosomal RNA (267 nucleotides) under uncultured soil bacterium. Its description in RNAcentral is "partial 16S ribosomal RNA". It matches the Rfam family "Bacterial small subunit ribosomal RNA", at positions 26 to 295 of the family's 1533-position model. The record is from RNAcentral.